This 402-nucleotide ribosomal RNA is filed under the name uncultured bacterium. RNAcentral's name for it is "bacterial SSU rRNA". It matches the Rfam family "Bacterial small subunit ribosomal RNA", at positions 355 to 774 of the family's 1533-position model. The record is from RNAcentral.
UGGGGAAUCUUGCACAAUGGGGGAAACCCUGAUGCAGCGACGCCGCGUGAACGAUGAAGCCCUUCGGGGUGUAAAGUUCUUUCGACAGGAACGAUAAUGACGGUACCUGGAGAAGAAGCUGCGGCUAACUACGUGCCAGCAGCCGUGGUAAUACGUAGGCAGCGAGCGUUGUUCGGAGUUACUGGGCGUAAAGAGUGCGUAGGCGGCGAGCCAAGUUUGGUGUGAAAUCUCCCGGCUUAACCGGGAGGGUGCGCCGAAAACUGGUUGGCUGGAGUAUGGGAGAGGAAAGCGGAAUUCCUGGUGUAGCGGUGAAAUGCGUAGAUAUCAGGAGGAACACCUGCGGUGUAGACAGCUUUCUGGACCAAAACUGACGCUGAGGCACGAAAGCGUGGGUAGCAAACA